RNAcentral lists this transfer RNA (73 nucleotides) under Andinoacara biseriatus. Its description in RNAcentral is "tRNA-Asp". It matches the Rfam family "tRNA". Rfam says of the family: Transfer RNA (tRNA) molecules are approximately 80 nucleotides in length. Their secondary structure includes four short double-helical elements and three loops (D, anti-codon, and T loops). Lineage: Eukaryota; Metazoa; Chordata; Actinopteri; Cichliformes; Cichlidae. The record is from RNAcentral.
AAGACUCUAGUAAAACAGAAAAUUAUAUUGCUUUGUCAAAGCAAUGUUGUGGGUUUAAACCCCACGUGUCUUG